UACAGAGACUGCAAGCGUUAUUCGGAUUCACUGGGCGUAAAGGGUGCGCAGGCGGCCAAGUGUGUGAGGCGUGAAAGCCUGGAGCUUAACUCCAGAAUUGCACCUCAAACUACAUGGCUAGAAUCAUGGAGAGGUUAGUGGAAUUCCGAGUGUAGAGGUGAAAUUCGUAGAUAUUCGGAAGAACACCAGUGGCGAAGGCGACUAACUGGACAUGUAUUGACGCUGAGGUGCGAAAGCGUGGGGAGCAAACAGG
Molecule: ribosomal RNA, 253 nt
Filed under: uncultured bacterium
Lineage: Bacteria
Description: partial 16S ribosomal RNA
Rfam family: Bacterial small subunit ribosomal RNA
Source: RNAcentral